GAUGAACGCUGACAGAAUGCUUAACACAUGCAAGUCUACUUGAACUUCGGUUUGGGUGGCGGACGGGUGAGUAACGCGUAAAGAACUUGCCUCACAGAUAGGGACAACAUUUGGAAACGAAUGCUAAUACCUGAUAUUAUGAUUUUAGGGCAUCCUAGAAUUAUGAAAGCUAUAUGCACUGUGAGAGAGCUUUGCGUCCCAUUAGCUAGUUGGAGAGGUAACGGCUCACCAAGGCGAUGAUGGGUAGCCGGCCUGAGAGGGUGAUCGGCCACAAGGGGACUGAGACACGGCCCUUACUCCUACGGGAGGCAGCAGUGGGGAAUAUUGGACAAUGGACCAAGAGUCUGAUCCAGCAAUUCUGUGUGUACGAUGAAGUUUUUCGGAAUGUAAAGUGCUUUCAGUUGGGAAGAAAAAAAUGACGGUACCAACAGAAGAAGUGACGGCUAAAUACGUG
RNAcentral lists this ribosomal RNA (454 nucleotides) under uncultured bacterium. Its description in RNAcentral is "partial 16S ribosomal RNA". It matches the Rfam family "Bacterial small subunit ribosomal RNA", at positions 28 to 507 of the family's 1533-position model. The record is from RNAcentral.